This is a transfer RNA of 99 nucleotides. It matches the Rfam family "tRNA". From Rfam's summary of the family: Transfer RNA (tRNA) molecules are approximately 80 nucleotides in length. Their secondary structure includes four short double-helical elements and three loops (D, anti-codon, and T loops). Further hydrogen bonds mediate the characteristic L-shaped molecular structure. tRNAs have two regions of fundamental functional importance: the anti-codon, which is responsible for specific mRNA codon recognition, and the 3' end, to which the tRNAs corresponding amino acid is attached (by aminoacyl-tRNA synthetases). tRNAs cope with the degeneracy of the genetic code in two manners: having more than one tRNA (with a specific anti-codon) for a particular amino acid; and 'wobble' base-pairing, i.e. permitting non-standard base-pairing at the 3rd anti-codon position. The record is from Rfam.
GGCGUUAUAGUGUAGUGGUUAUCACUCGGGAUUUUGAUCGUCAGGUCCAUUCUCCUUGUUGAAUUUCCCGGAACCCAGGUUCGAACCCUGGUAACGCCU